Molecule: ribosomal RNA, 737 nt
Filed under: uncultured eukaryote
Lineage: Eukaryota
Description: partial 18S ribosomal RNA
Rfam family: Eukaryotic small subunit ribosomal RNA
Source: RNAcentral
CUUAAUUUGACUCAACACGGGAAAACUUACCAGGUCCGGACAGCAGAAGGAUUGACAGAUUGAAAGCUCUUUCAUGAUUGGUUGGGUGGUGGUGCAUGGCCGUUCUUAGUUCGUACCGUGAGGUGUCUGGUUGAUUCCGUUAACGAACGAGACCUUUGUGGGGGAAAAUAGAGGGGCAGAGGACGAACAGAUGUAGAGUAGCGCAUGCCUUUGAGACCCAAGAAAUUGACUUGAGGGUGGAUGAGUGAACGUCCGGCUAAAUUAAAGUCUUCUAGUCUGAAUAAAAAAAAAGAAGCGAUUCUUUUCUCUACUUUCCGAGACAACACAAGAAAAUUGUGAGGAAGUUGGAGGCAAAAACAGGUCUGUGAUGCCCUUAGAUGUUCUGGGCUGCACGCGCGUUACAAUGAUAAAAGCAGAGAGUGAAUGGGAGGGAAGGAAGGAGAAAGGGGAGAGUAAAAUCUUUUUUUUCUUUGGACGGAACUCUAAUACACGUUGGAUGAGAAACAUUUGACAAAUCUUGGAAAUUUUAUCGUACUAUGAAUUGUUAAUUGAAACUAUUUGACAUGAAAAAGGAAUGCCUAGUAGGUGCAAGUCAUCAACUUGCGCCGAUUACGUCCCUGUCUCUUGUACACACCGCCCGUCGCUCCUACCGAUUGAAACCAACGGUGAAAAAUUCGGAGAGAGUGGAUUUAGAAAUAGAUUUACGAUUGAAGUUUUUUAAAUCUUUUGUUUUAGAG